ACGAACGCUGGCGGCAGGCUUAACACAUGCAAGUCGAACGAAGGCUUCGGCCUUAGUGGCGCACGGGUGAGUAACACGUGGGAAUAUACCUCUCAGUGGGGGAUAACGUCGGGAAACUGACGCUAAUACCGCAUACGCCCUUCGGGGGAAAGAUUUAUCGCUGAGAGAUUAGCCCACGUCCGAUUAGCUAGUUGGUAAGGUAAUGGCUUACCAAGGCUACGAUCGGUAGCUGGUCUGAGAGGAUGAUCAGCCACACUGGGACUGAGACACGGCCCAGACUCCUACGGGAGGCAGCAGUGGGGAAUCUUGCGCAAUGGGCGAAAGCCUGACGCAGCCAUGCCGCGUGAAUGAUGAAGGUCUUAGGAUUGUAAAAUUCUUUCACCGGGGAAGAUAAUGACGGUACCCGGAGAAGAAGCCCCGGCUAACUUCGU
This 431-nucleotide ribosomal RNA is filed under the name uncultured bacterium. Its description in RNAcentral is "bacterial SSU rRNA". It matches the Rfam family "Bacterial small subunit ribosomal RNA", at positions 29 to 506 of the family's 1533-position model. The record is from RNAcentral.